CGAGGCAAGUGGCUAGAGUUCACAGUCGCGGCCAGGAAAGGGUUGAGACAAAGGUCGGCGCUUCUGAGCUCCGUAGGGAGACCCCCGUCCCAACGCACGCACAAAGGGGAAAUUGAGGCCCGAAAAUCCUACAGGAUCAGCCCUGGAAGGAGCAAGAAUGGAGAAAAGGGAACAGUCUUCAAGAAUGGCGGGAGGGGCGGCACUGAAGCUGCUCUUCAUGCGCUGCCCAAGGUCCCACAGUGGCUGAGGAAGGGGUUCCAGGGAUCUGUGUCUAGGCUUGGGUGUCAGAUCAAGGACAUAUUAAGGUUUGAAUCCCAGCUGUGUGAGCGUGAGCAAGUGUCUCAACCUCUCUGAGCCCAUGCUUCCUCCACUUUGGGGUCAGUAUCAGAGGGGUAGUAAUGAUUCAUAAACUCACUCUAGAACAUAGCAUUUCCCCUCUCUGCGUUCCCACACAGUUCUUGAGCCCCUCCCCUCCCCUACUGCCCUUUGCCCAAGUAUGUAAGAGUGUAGAGAGGCAUUUUCCAAGCCUGGGUGCAGGAGUCUAUUCUGACCCUGGGCUUGUUGGAAAACCUUGGUUCUCUUGGACCCAUUCAUGGAGUUCAUCUGUGGCCUCUGAGGGAGCAGUCAAAAGGGGAGGCGGCCAGUUAGAUACCUGGGAGUCCAAGAUGAGCUGUCCCUGGUGGAAGAAGCUCCCUCGCCCCACACACACAUUAAGACUUUGGUGGGUCCUACACACUUUUGUUUUCAAGGGCUCCUUCCUAGAUUAAAAAACAUUUUUUAAAUAUAUUUUAUGGGUGGGUUGACAUAAAGAUGAAUAUAUUAAUAUUAUAUAUUAAAACAUUUUCUUCAGCCUAAAAAUUCUUUUCUUCUUCUAAUUUUUUAAAGAAAUUAAAACAUUUUCAUGGGUCUUAGGCAUCGUGUCAAACGGAUUAGUUAGCUCCCCUCCUCCCUCCUCAGUCUGGCCUACCUGGCUGUUCCAGAAAGUCUGAGAGAGAAGGGCAAGAGCCCUAGUGGUCUCUGAGCAGAACUAUCUUUGGGCUUUCUCUCUGCAAAACCCCCCUGGCUGAUAUAAGGAACUCCUACAACUUAAUAGCAAAAACCCAAAUAACCCGAUUAAAAAAUGGGCAAAGGAACCAUAUA
Ailuropoda melanoleuca (giant panda) is the source of this 1140-nucleotide long non-coding RNA. RefSeq lists it as uncharacterized. The transcript is spliced from 3 exons. Lineage: Eukaryota; Metazoa; Chordata; Mammalia; Carnivora; Ursidae. The record is from RefSeq and is a predicted model, not a curated record.